Long non-coding RNA from Chelonia mydas (Green sea turtle), 3220 nucleotides. RefSeq lists it as uncharacterized. NCBI's taxonomy places the organism in Eukaryota, Metazoa, Chordata, Testudines, Cheloniidae. The record is from RefSeq and is a predicted model, not a curated record. The transcript has 2 exons.
GUGACUAGUUCAACCCUGGGCAUAUGUAGGAGAAUUAACAUGGUUGAGUAUUCAGUUCCAUUUACAUCCUGAGACCUACCCAUUGGCAUUCUAAGUAACUGUCCAGUGUUUUUCCUGAAUUCUAGUAAAGCGUAUUCUACCAGGACUUCCUGGAGUGGAAAUUUCAAGACUUAUCCUCUGAGAAAAAAUCCUGUCCACGUAUUCAUUAGUAAUUACUGUGCAAGUCUGCAGCAUGUUUCAUCGAGGAUCUUGUGACUUCGAGAAUCAUAGAGAUUAAAGCCAGGAAGAACCACCAGAUCAUCUUGUUGGACUUCCUGUGUAUCACAGGCCACCGACACCACUCAGCCGACCUGUCCCACAGCCUAGGCUUCAGCCCACAACCAAACAUCUACAGUACAAUUUUAUAGCCCUGCAACCUGAGCCCUGUGAGCCCUAGUCAACUGACACGAGCCAGCCAUGGGUGGUUUAUUGCAGUGUAUACAUACCCUGAGAGGGUUAAGCUGCCUGACCCAAGGGCACACAGCAAGGCAGUGACAGAGUUAAGAAGAGAACCCAGGAGUCCUGACUAGCAGUCCCCUGUUCAAACCCCUAGACAACACUCCUUCCUUAUAUCAUAUAUUGUAUCAUAUAUCAGAGCAUAUCUAUCAUAUCAUAUCAUAUAAACAUUUCUAUGAACCCCUAUGUUAAAAAUAACUUUGUACAUAUCUCUGUAGGGAAUAAUAUAGAGGCAUCAUCUCCUGGGAGGAUUUUGCAGUUGUUCUGGAUGUAGUUUCUUCCAGCAGAUUUUGCUGCAGAGAAUGGGGCAGGACCACUGGCUUUCUGAGAGCUGUAAGGAAAGAGAUUGAUACCCUGGUGUGGGGGAGCUCUCAGCUACCCUAGUUGCAAUCUGUUCCAGCAGGAGUGGAUGUAGGGAAUGUAGGGGUCAGAGCACUGGCAGCAGGGGUACUCCCAGGUACUGCAGUCUCAGCUUUGCUUAGGAAGUUUCACAUCUGGAACUUGCAGUGAAACACUGCCUUGAAUUAUAAUCUUGACUUGAAAAGGCAAAUCCAAUUUUGUUUUUUUUUUAAACAUUAUUUAAUAUUUAAUAUAGAAAUUGUGGUCCCAGGGGUACAUGUCAGUUCAGUCUGAAAUGAAGGUUACUUUAGAAUUAUCAGCUGGGUUGGGUUUGUUUUCUUGUGAAACAGCAGCUGGGUGGUAGUGGAGGGAGGCUGCCCCUAUUUCUGUGAAGUUAAGAGGUUGGGGGUCGUAUAUUACAGGCCUGGGGUAAUAAGCCUGAUGAAGAUGGAGAGCGUGAAGAAAGUGUCCUGUAUUUAAGGUCCUUCAAAAGUUCAAUGAGAUUUCUGCAUCGUCUUGAACACUUUAAAACUUUCUAAAUUCAGAGACAUUAAUGAGAAACAUGAAGUUAUUAGAAUCAUUUGUCAUUUUCUUUGAAGCUUACACUGGCAUUUUGUGUAAUUUAUGACAUUUCCUCCUUUUUAUUGUGAACUUCUUCAGAUGAAGGGGAAAAGCAGCUGUUUUCCUUCAGAGUAUCUGAAAGGGAAAAAAAGAUGCUGUUUGUUUUUUGUCCAAGUAGCUGAUCCUGCUGAUGAUACGCCACAGAGAAUUGGUGCCUGGGGAGUAAUUAGACAGGGGUUUAAACCCUGGUCGAUAUGUGUCUGUUGUUGAGCUGUUGCAGCUCAGAUGUCCUGUAAUGCUCAACUACCCAUCUAGUAGCUCAUGCGGGUUAAAAUUGUGUGUUCUGAAUCUGUAACAUGUGACUGCGAAGGGAGGAUGGUCCAGUGGUUAGGGUGCUAGCCUUUGGCUUGGGAGCCUCUGUCUAAAUCCCUGAUCAGUCAUAGACUUCCUGUGUGAUCUUGGGCAAGAUACUUAGCCUCUGUUCCCCAUUUGUAAAAUGGAGAUCAUAGCACUGCCCGAUCACACGGGAAUAAGGAGAAUAAAUUCAUUCAAGAUUGUGAGGUGCUCAGGUACUACAGUGAUGUGGGCUUUAUAAGUACCUUAGAUAUACUACUGUCGCUGUUGAAUUACAUUGGGGAAGAGUAAAUCCAGAAAUGUGUGGGGUCAGAAACUCUCUUUAGAACACUUAUUACCUUGAUUGGUGCUUUGUAUGUUCAUAUACACCUGCUUCCCAACCGAGUCAAACUUCUGUUUGAUGAGAUGAGCGGGAGGUCAGUGGGAAGCUUUGCCCUUAACAUGUUGGGUCUAUUUAUCUGUUUCAUUACCUCGGCUUGUAGGAAGCAAGUAAAUACAAAAGUUUUUCCACGGCUCUGUGGCCUGUGGGUUCCACACAGCUUUUUCAGUGCAGUUCAAGUAAAGAAGAUGACAAAAGUGGGAGGUGGUUGUCAGACUGGAGGAUAGAAGGCAGCUGGAGGCUUGCUCCCAGAAGCAGAGCAGCACACCCUGUUUCAUGCUUGCAGGGUUGCUCAUGAUGUGCUAGGCUGCUGGCUUUGAACUGCAGCAUUUGCUGAUGGGGGGAACCCCCACUUGGACCUGCAAAAAGACAGAAGAAGGAAAAAGGAAGGGCAAACUUAGGGCCAACCAACCUUGACAGCAUGACCCUUAAGUAACAUUUCCAGUGGGGUUUGAUAAGUGCUUUGCAGUUUCAUGUCGAAAAGAUGAAAAUUGCUGUGACUUUUUCAUCUGGUUUCUGUGCAAGGCUCUGGAAAGUGCAUUGCAUGAAGCACCCGUUUGAUGUUUUAAUGAUAUUGCAGAAGAAUCCAUUGAGGGAGAGAGACUCACAGAUUUGACAUCCUUAAAAUGCUCGUUUAUUUGUUCCAUAACAGAGGGUACAAGUCACAUUAGUGGUAAUAGCCUCUCUCUUACUUCAGGCUCACCCUGUGACACACUUGAGCCAUUUAGAUGUGCAUUCCACAGAAAAAGAGAGCUGAUUUCAUUUAUAGUACAGUGAGUGAAGAAUCAGGCACAAUUCCCAUUUCUCCCAGUUCACUUGUCGUCCAGGAAAUUCAGCAGUAUUUCAGUGGAGCAGGGUCCAUCAGCACCUGUGUUGUGUGUUCAUAGUUUGCAAAGUAUUGGUAAAUUGGAAUACAUUUAUACAGUGCCCAGAACACACUCAGACAGUGCCUAGAAAGUUGUGUUUGCUCCAGAUGUAGUCUUUAUUUUAACAAAUAAAUGGAAUGUUACUGUUUUAAUAGUGACUUUCAUUUUGGCUUUCUGACAAUAACUAUGUAAUGUAGAAGUGGUUAAAAGUGACUUUGCAAAAUUA